RNAcentral lists this ribosomal RNA (508 nucleotides) under uncultured Bacteroidales bacterium. RNAcentral's name for it is "partial 16S ribosomal RNA". The record is from RNAcentral. Lineage: Bacteria; Pseudomonadati; Bacteroidota; Bacteroidia; Bacteroidales.
CACGGAGUUAGCCGAUGCUUUUCUUCGGAUACACGCAGUCCGGGACACGUCCCGGGUUUUGUUCUCCGACAAAAGAGGUUUACAACCCAUAGGGCCGUCUUCCCUCACGCGGCUUGGCUGGUUCAGGAUCUCUCCCAUUGACCAAUAUUCCUCACUGCUGCCUCCCGUAGGAGUCUGGUCCGUGUCUCAGUACCAGUGUGGGGGACCUUCCUCUCAGAACCCCUACGCAUCGUCGCCACGGUGGGCCGUUACCCCGCCGUCAAGCUAAUGCGCCGCAUGCCCAUCCUCUUCCGAUGAAUCUUUCCUCGAUCUCGGAUGCCCGAAACCGAUAUACGCGGGAUUAGCCUCCCUUUCGGAAGGUUGUCCCCCUGAAGAGGGCAGGUUGCAUACGUGUUACUCACCCGUGCGCCGGUCGCCGGCAAGGAAAGCAAGCUUCCCUCCCGAUGCCCCUCGACUUGCAUGUGUUAAGCCUGCCGCUAGCGUUCAUCCUGAGCCAGGAUCAAACUCU